UCAAACUUCCUCCUUCAGCUCAGCUCUCCAACAUUAACUCUGCUCAACAUGCUGUCUCUGCUCACAUCUGGAUUCUCUCUGCUGGUUCUGAUCACUGGAUCAGCUGUAAACUGUCAACAACUCACUGCAGGGAAGACUGAGGAGUUCAGUUCAGAGGGCAGCUCUGCUACUCUGACCUGCAGUUACACCAAAGAUUCAGCUGAUUAUUUAUUCUGGUAUCGACAAAAUCCAGGAAAACAUCCAGAGUUCCUGAAGUCUCACUCACCUUCAGGUGGAGCAGAAAGUCUGGACAGGAUGACAUUUAAAGGAAGCAACGAAGAAAUGUCCAUCACGAUCUCCUCUGCUGCAGUGACAGACUCUGCUGUGUACUACUGCGCUGUGCAGCCCACAGUGACAGGAAACACCAGAACCCUGUACAAAAACCUGCAGUACUCCACAGCGGCCACUAGAGGGCCUCUCUACUUCAAUCCCUUCCUAGCAUUCAGACCUGACAGUUUCAGCUACUGGGCUGCACAUCAGUCGCUCCAGGUAGCAGCAGCUCUUCGGUUCAUCAGGAUGUUGCUGCUGAAAUGGUUCUCCAGUGGUUUCCUUUCACUGCGUUUCACCUAA
This is a non-coding RNA of Poecilia latipinna (sailfin molly), 609 nucleotides long. Lineage: Eukaryota; Metazoa; Chordata; Actinopteri; Cyprinodontiformes; Poeciliidae. The record is from the annotation of a RefSeq genome assembly.